GGGCGCUUAGCUCAGUUGGUAGAGCAUCUGCCUUACAAGCAGAGGGUCAUAGGUUCGAAUCCUGUAGCGCCCACCA
This 76-nucleotide transfer RNA is filed under the name Burkholderiales bacterium. RNAcentral's name for it is "tRNA-Val". It matches the Rfam family "tRNA". Rfam says of the family: Transfer RNA (tRNA) molecules are approximately 80 nucleotides in length. Their secondary structure includes four short double-helical elements and three loops (D, anti-codon, and T loops). The record is from RNAcentral. RNAcentral also lists the same sequence under 3 other names. Lineage: Bacteria; Pseudomonadati; Pseudomonadota; Betaproteobacteria; Burkholderiales.